UUAGUUAUGAUGAUGUGUUGUUGCAAAGUUGCUAAUGGUCAACAGAAUGUCUAAAGGGAACCAUCAAAAUAAAGUGUUACCA
Sinocyclocheilus grahami is the source of this 82-nucleotide long non-coding RNA. RefSeq lists it as uncharacterized. The transcript is spliced from 3 exons. The record is from RefSeq and is a predicted model, not a curated record. NCBI's taxonomy places the organism in Eukaryota, Metazoa, Chordata, Actinopteri, Cypriniformes, Cyprinidae.